RNAcentral lists this long non-coding RNA (828 nucleotides) under Dromaius novaehollandiae (emu). RNAcentral describes it as "lncRNA (ENSDNVG00000009369.1)". The record is from RNAcentral. Lineage: Eukaryota; Metazoa; Chordata; Aves; Casuariiformes; Dromaiidae.
GCUCAUAGCCAGAGUACUGAAUAGAUUAAGCAAGUUGUAAGGAUACCCGCUGAGAGGGUUGUUCAGGUUGGUCCAGGUUGCGCAGACCCGCAUUGUGGUGGCACCAACGAGCCUGACAGCACUUUCUAAAAGACAGCGUGCAAAGAGACACGGCCAAACAAAUAGGCUGAAGCUUUAACCUACCUCGGAAAUGUUUGCUCGCUUCUAAAACGCCCUCCUGAUCCUGAACAACCUCUCAGCUCUCCACGAAAGCAGGGACCGCAGCUCGCAGAAGCACAGCAUCUCCCCUGAGCAAGCCAACGGCAGGAGCAGCGGCAAGCACAGAGGUGAUGGGUUUCUUCGCAGGCGCACACACAUCACACCGGGAUAUAAGAUACCUGAGGACUGUUUCUUGUUUGCAGACUGCUGCAAGACAGAGGCGUAAUCAUCUAUUGGCCUCUCUGCUGAGAUUGCCAGGGCGGAUAAGCAAGGGUYGAGCAGAGUAGGAGGUCCGGCAGUGUGGAAAAUCUACACGCCAGAGCCAGACAAGGGGGAAGAGGAGAGGAGCGCUGUUGAAGUCUGAUUUGCAGAAAAGGCAAGUGUUGAGUUUUUAUUUAUGUGGAUGGUUUCAGUUUCAGAUGAAUUGGUGCAGUUGUUCACACAAUCAAUGACCAAUAUUCCGGGGGUUUAAGGCGCUUUGCAAAGUUAAAAGCAGUCGAAGUAGAAAAGAUCCAGUAGGAAUAUUGCAGGGGAGGUCGAAGAAUGGGAUAAAUCUGGCUUACUGUGUGGAGGUGUGAUUUAUUAUCUGUUUGCAGAAAUAAAUGAWUUUAUCACAUGGAUGUUAUUAGU